RNAcentral lists this ribosomal RNA (616 nucleotides) under uncultured fungus. RNAcentral's name for it is "eukaryotic LSU rRNA". The stretch from base 209 to 362 matches the Rfam family "5.8S ribosomal RNA". The record is from RNAcentral. Lineage: Eukaryota; Fungi.
UCCGUAGGUGAACCUGCGGAAGGAUCAUUAAUUGUAUAACGGGGGCCGGCGAGGGAUUGCGCACUUCGGUGCGCCUUUCUUCCCCGCCCUGUCUGAUACUACCCAUGUCUUUUGCGUACCAAUUGUUUCCUCGGUGGGCUUGCCCGCCGGUUGGACACUAUACAACCUUUUGUAAUUGCAGUCAGCGUCAGAAAAACAUAAUAAUUACAACUUUCAACAACGGAUCUCUUGGUUCUGGCAUCGAUGAAGAACGCAGCGAAAUGCGAUAAGUAGUGUGAAUUGCAGAAUUCAGUGAAUCAUCGAAUCUUUGAACGCACAUUGCGCCCCUUGGUAUUCCAUGGGGCAUGCCUGUUCGAGCGUCAUUUGUACCCUCAAGCUCUGCUUGGUGUUGGGUGUUUGUCUUUGCUAUGCCUAGACUCGCCUUAAAUUUAUUGGCAGCCUGUAUAUUGGUUUGAAGCGCAGCACAAUUUGCGCUCCUGGCCCAUGACUAUUGGCACCCAUAAGAUUAUUUAUCACUUUUGACCUCGGAUCAGGUAGGGAUACCCGCUGAACUUAAGCAUAUCAAUAAGCGGAGGGAAGUCGGACUGGCCAAGGGGCACACCAGGGGGGGGGGAUA